Molecule: ribosomal RNA, 1550 nt
Filed under: Eleutherodactylus counouspeus (Counou robber frog)
Lineage: Eukaryota; Metazoa; Chordata; Amphibia; Anura; Eleutherodactylidae
Description: partial 16S ribosomal RNA
Rfam family: Bacterial large subunit ribosomal RNA
Source: RNAcentral
CCAAAAAUCUAGCCCAACCAAAACGUUUUAUUUUUUUCAUAAAGCUAAAAUAUUUUUUUAUCUAGUAAUGAUGAACAAAAAAUUAAUUGGAGCAAUAAAUAUGUACCGCAAGGGAUUGAUGAAAUAAUAAUGAAAUAAUAUUUAAGCACAAAAAAGUAGAGAUUUUUCCUCGUACCUUUUGCAUCAUGGUUUAACUAGUCUAAUCAAGCAAAAAGACUUAUAGUUUGACUUCCCGAAACUAAGUGAGCUACUUUAAGACAGCUUAACGAGCAAACCCGUCUCUGUUGCAAAAGAGUGGAAAGAUCUUAAAGUAGAAGUGAUAUACCUAACGAACUUAGCUAUAGCUGGUUAUUCAAGAAAAGAAUCUUAGUUCAACCUAAUGUUAUAUUAAUUUAUCAAAAUAUAAAUUUAACAAUAGAGUUACUCAAAUAAGUCACAGCCUAUUUGAGAUAGGAUACAGCCUCAACUUUUGGGUAACAAUUAUGCAAAUACUUAUUCAAGUAGGCCUAAGAGCAGCCACCUUCUAAAAAGCGUCAAAGCUUAGUUACUUUAUACAUUUUAAUUCUUUUUACAUUUAAGAACCCAAUAUUAAUACUGAAUAAUUCUAUAUUUUUAUAGAACUAAUAAUGUUAAAACUAGUAACAAGAAGUCUUCUUCUCUAUUAUGUAAGUAUAAAUCAGAACGGAAAACCCACUGAUAAUUAACAGCUUUAAUUUUAAGUAUUACCCUAACAAGAAAAACUUACCUUAUUAUCUGUUAACCUAACACAAGAACAUCAAAAGAAAGAUUUAAAGAAAAAGAAGGAACUCGGCAAAUAUCGAUUCCGCCUGUUUACCAAAAACAUCGCCUCCUGAAUAUAUAGGAGGUCCAGCCUGCCCAGUGACCUAGUUUAACGGCCGCGGUAUCCUAACCGUGCGAAGGUAGCGUAAUCACCUGUUUUUUAAUUGAAGACCAGUAUGAAAGGCAUCACGAGAAUCACACUGUCUCCUUUCUCUAAUCAGUGAAACUAAUCUUUCCGUGAAAAAGCGGAAAUAUCUAUGCAAGACGAGAAGACCCUUUGGAGCUUAAGAUAAAAUAUAUAUGCUAAUUUUAUUAAUUUAAAAGCAUUUUAUUAAAAAUCUUUGGUUGGGGCAACCGCGGAGUAAAAAAAAACCUCCAAGAUGAAUGAAUUUUUUCUAAACAAAAAGCCACAACUUUAUGUAUCAAUAAAUUGACAUUACUGACCCAAUAUUUUGAUUAAUGAACCAAGUUACCCUAGGGAUAACAGCGCAAUCCACUUCAAAAGUUCAUAUCGACAAGUGGGCUUACGACCUCGAUGUUGGAUCAAGGUAUCCAAGUGGUGCAGCAGCUACUAAAGGUUCGUUUGUUCAACGAUUAAAACCUUACGUGAUCUGAGUUCAGACCGGAGCAAUCCAGGUCAGUUUCUAUCUGCAAAGAGCUAUUUCCAGUACGAAAGGACAGAAAUAACGUGGCCAAUGAAAUAUUUAUGCCAUCAAAAAACUUAUGCUUCAUCACUCAACAAGUCAUGCCUCUUAUUUCACUCAACAAAA